RNAcentral lists this ribosomal RNA (616 nucleotides) under uncultured bacterium. Its description in RNAcentral is "partial 16S ribosomal RNA". The stretch from base 1 to 525 matches the Rfam family "Bacterial small subunit ribosomal RNA", at positions 338 to 873 of the family's 1533-position model. The record is from RNAcentral.
CCUACGGGAGGCAGCAGUGGGGAAUAUUGCACAAUGGGCGAAAGCCUGAUGCAGCGACGCCGCGUGAGGGAUGACGGCCUUCGGGUUGUAAACCUCUUUCAGUAGGGAAGAAGCGAAAGUGACGGUACCUGCAGAAGAAGCGCCGGCUAACUACGUGCCAGCAGCCGCGGUAAUACGUAGGGCGCAAGCGUUAUCCGGAAUUAUUGGGCGUAAAGAGCUCGUAGGCGGUUUGUCGCGUCUGCCGUGAAAGUCCGGGGCUUAACUCCGGAUCUGCGGUGGGUACGGGCAGGCUAGAGUGCAGUAGGGGAGACUGGAAUUCCUGGUGUAGCGGUGAAAUGCGCAGAUAUCAGGAGGAACACCGAUGGCGAAGGCAGGUCUCUGGGCUGUAACUGGCGCUGAGGAGCGAAAGCAUGGGUAGCGAACAGGAUUAGAUACCCUGGUAGUCCAUGCCGUAAACGUUGGGCACUAGGUGUGGGGGACAUUCCACGUUUUCCGCGCCGUAGCUAACGCAUUAAGUGCCCCGCCUGGGGAGGUACGGCCGCGACGACGUAAACUACAAANAGAAGUUAGUACGGCGUGAGACGUAGCCGACGGACGACCGACGAGGGAGGUUAGG